This 150-nucleotide small nuclear RNA is filed under the name Zalophus californianus (California sea lion). Its description in RNAcentral is "U4 spliceosomal RNA (ENSZCAG00015020456.1)". It matches the Rfam family "U4 spliceosomal RNA". Rfam says of the family: U4 small nuclear RNA (U4 snRNA) is a component of the major U2-dependent spliceosome. The structure of U4 snRNA from yeast and human has been reported. The record is from RNAcentral. Lineage: Eukaryota; Metazoa; Chordata; Mammalia; Carnivora; Otariidae.
AGCUUUGCGCAGUGGCAGUAUCGUAGCCAAUGAGGUUUAUCCGAGGCGCGAUUAUUGCUAAUCAAAGGUGUCUCUCCUUCCUUCUCUACCAGGAAGGACAAAAGUUGCUCACUGGAGAUAAUUUUAGAUUCUAUCAGCCUGGGAAUGGUA